CGUAUCAAGAGGUUGUCCCAUGACUUCGGAGCCGAGACGCACUCAAUUCCCAGCUCUCCCAUCAUUGCGCCGUGGUCAGCGACAUUCCGGUGGUGACGUGUCACGCCGAAAGAAAGAAAGACCUUGUUCAUCAGACACAGGGUCACAGAGUCGUGUUCCCACUCAAGAUAACCAUUCACCGCGACAACGCUGCUUCCCUCCCCCCUAAAACACACGGCCCCCCCUUCGUUUACUUCCUAACGUCAACUGAACCGGGGGAGAUUGUCAACAUCAUCGGGCAGACAAACAGCAUUCCUUCGCUUCCUUUCAAGCGAUCACUCGCCUCCGGUCAACAGUCUCACGGGUCUGCCGGCGUAAAGCGAUGGCGCUGAACAAACGCCGCUGCCGUCCGUGGUGGGCUCUUUGGGAGUUUCGCUGUUGUUGACAGAGGCACGGGAGGCAGCUUUCAACAGCUUUGGAGUUUCUGUUGGACCAUGGUGUCUGACAGGUCCAGAUUGUUGCCAAGGCCCAGCCGCUCUGACACCAGGUGGCCCCUGGCAUCCCCCUACAAGAGGAGCGAGGAGAAGGACUUGUCAACUUUUCCUACCUGCAAGGAGUCGGCGGCCAUCUUGCUUGUCGCCUUUGAAUCAAAUCCUACGGGGAGAGAGGAGGGGAGGUGG
This is a long non-coding RNA of Hippocampus comes (tiger tail seahorse), 659 nucleotides long. RefSeq lists it as uncharacterized. The record is from RefSeq and is a predicted model, not a curated record. NCBI's taxonomy places the organism in Eukaryota, Metazoa, Chordata, Actinopteri, Syngnathiformes, Syngnathidae. The transcript is spliced from 3 exons.